Long non-coding RNA from Pseudophryne corroboree (corroboree frog), 938 nucleotides. RefSeq lists it as uncharacterized. The record is from RefSeq and is a predicted model, not a curated record. The transcript has 3 exons. NCBI's taxonomy places the organism in Eukaryota, Metazoa, Chordata, Amphibia, Anura, Myobatrachidae.
UCAGACUCCUUGGAUCGAUUUCCGGACAAACCAAAUGAAUGCUUACAGCUCUUACUGCUCCUCUUGGACUUAUAAGUUCACGACAAGUUAGUACACUGAAAGCAAUGAUCUGAAUGAACAUGGGAAUCUGAAGGCUGAAGUAUUUAAGCAUCAUCCAUCUGUACUUAUUCUGCUGAAGUGAUCAUGCUGAACGAGAAGAAUCAAGCAGCCAUCAGUUACUGCACAUGGUUAUAUUAUACAACGCAGUACUAACUCUGUACACUUCUAAGUGAACGUGUGUGAAAGCUAGACUUCCCUCUGCUAUAUAUCAAGGCAGAACUGGAAGCAUCAUCUGUUCUCUCUCAAAUCUGAUUGGAGGAUUGCAUUAUUCCAUUGUAAUACACAGAUCUGUUUUUGUAGUUAUUAUUCAGCUUUAGCAAAGGAGAAUAUUGUGUGCACUACGUCUACAGGGAGAGGCUCAAUCUAAAUCUUUGGGAGAGUUAGUGCUGAUGGUUAUCUAUAUUUGAUUUGCUUUGUUGUAAUUGUCUAACACUUUUUAUUAUCAUUUAUUUUCCAUAAAAAAUGAUCACAGUAAUAAAAAUUGACAGCCUUAGAAAAGGUUUCAAUAGAAGCUUUUCGUCUAAGCGCCAUAUAAAAGAAUAAUUAUGGAUAAGUAAACCUGUCAAAAAAUAAAUUAAAAAAAUGGAAGGGAUAAGAGCACUUAAAAAGAUUGAAAACCACAAAUGUAUUUUAUUUGUAACAAACUCAUUGAAUAUUAGGCAUCAAUACAAAUGCUACAACUUCUCUUUACUGCACAAACAUCUUCCCAUAACAUGUGCGAAAUGAACAUUCCAGAGGGGUGCUACCUUAUCUUGGUUGCGGAUCCUGCACAAUUAAUCUUAGAUGUUUGCAGACACCCUAGCACUUGGUCACAUUACUGUACAUUGAGUCUCCUUAUC